AUAUUACCAGGUAAGUGCAAAACAUCUUUGAAUUCAUUUUCUGCUUGCUACAGAAUAACUUGAAGGCGGAAAAAACGCCACGAAUAAAAACGAAACAGAAACGUAAAGGAAGCAACAUUUAUGCAGCUGAAGACAGAACACUACCCUAAAGGUACAGAAGAAAAAGAAAUGAUCAUAUAACUAGAUUUACAUGGCGAAAAAAGACAUUACAGAUUCAACUACGAAGAAUAAUUUACAGUCGUAAAAUAGUUCUGAGAGUAUCACAGAGGUUUUGAAUCGUCUGUUGUUCCUGAGAUGCUUGCAUUUCCUGAAGAGGCAUCUCUUCAUAGCACAUUUUAUGAUACGCUAAGGCUUGAGCAAGAUUCAUUAGUGUAGGACUCGAGGUUAGUCUUUGGUAUACACUUGGAGGAAGGGGAACCUCAUUUUGUCUGCUUCGACCUUUCUUGGAUUGAGAAUCACCAGAGAAGAGUUCCUGCAUUGCUUCUACAGCAGUCUUUCCACUAUUAUCCCUUUGCCAGUCCCCGAGCACAUCCUCAGACAAGAGUGCAAUCGGUGAUAUGUCAGUUGCUCUUAGAAAUGGAAUUGGCACUGUGUUACCAGCCGAGUAUAUGGACCGAAGCUUGUCCAAUGCUCUCCGACUGACAGUUUCAUUUGGCAAGGUUCCAGUAUUAUAGCCGCCGCCACCACUACUAACAGUUGCUUGAGAUGUAGUACUCCCCUUGAGGCCCUGAUCAGGAGAAGGUAAGGUUCCGGGAGAAGAUACUUGCAUGCUCUGUCUCUGGGACAUUCCAACGGGUGAACUGACAUCAAUAUCAUUAAGCAACCAGGGAUCAUUUGAUUUGCCAGCAAUGGUGGGGAUGGAAGGAAUUCCAGUACGCCGCAGAGUAGAUGAAGCUUCUGCAUUUCUGAUUUGACUAGCUGUUUUAUCAAUAUCAGGUCCAUCUCGGACUAUCAUAGUCCCAAAAUCACCUUCUCCCACGGGCUCCAAGCUUGUAGAAGGGGCAUCAUCAUUUUUAGGCUUAGAAGGAACAGUAUCGCCAAAUUCAUCAUUCACUUUUGGACCUCCCAGAACCUCGGGAGUCUCGGAAGCAAUAUUUUGCGCUUCCAAGGCCAUUGAUGCCCUAAUUUGUUUGGCCUUCUCAAUCUUCGGCAUCAUUACAGAAGCUCCAGCUUUGAAUUUUUCGAUGAAUUUGUGCUUUAACAUCUCGGAGGCAGUUGGACGAAGUCGAGGGUCUUUUGUAAGACACUUGGCAACA
This 1256-nucleotide unclassified non-coding RNA is filed under the name Hevea brasiliensis (rubber tree). The record is from RNAcentral. Lineage: Eukaryota; Viridiplantae; Streptophyta; Magnoliopsida; Malpighiales; Euphorbiaceae.